GUGGGGAAUCUUAGACAAUGGGCGCAAGCCUGAUCUAGCCAUGCCGCGUGAGCGAUGAAGGCCUUAGGGUUGUAAAGCUCUUACGUGGGGGAAGAUAAUGACUGUACCCCAAGAAGAAGCCCCGGCUAACUCCGUGCCAGCAGCCGCGGUAAUACGGAGGGGGCUAGCGUUGUUCGGAAUUACUGGGCGUAAAGCGCACGUAGGCGGACUGGAAAGUCAGGGGUGAAAUCCCGGGGCUCAACCCCGGAACUGCCUUUGAAACUCCCAGUCUUGAGUUCGAGAGAGGUGAGUGGAAUUCCGAGUGUAGAGGUGAAAUUCGUAGAUAUUCGGAGGAACACCAGUGGCGAAGGCGGCUCACUGGCUCGAUACUGACGCUGAGGUGCGAAAGCGUGGGGAGCAAACAGGAUUAGAAACCCCUGUAGUCC
This 425-nucleotide ribosomal RNA is filed under the name uncultured bacterium. RNAcentral describes it as "partial 16S ribosomal RNA". It matches the Rfam family "Bacterial small subunit ribosomal RNA", at positions 354 to 796 of the family's 1533-position model. The record is from RNAcentral.